RNAcentral lists this transfer RNA (69 nucleotides) under Podarcis lilfordi (Lilford's wall lizard). RNAcentral describes it as "tRNA.Ala". It matches the Rfam family "tRNA". Rfam says of the family: Transfer RNA (tRNA) molecules are approximately 80 nucleotides in length. Lineage: Eukaryota; Metazoa; Chordata; Lepidosauria; Squamata; Lacertidae. The record is from RNAcentral.
GCCGUAGCUCAAUGGUACAGCAUCUGCUUUGCAUGCAGAAGGUCCCAGGUUCAGUCCCUGACAUCUCCA